GUUGCACCUGCAUCACAAACAAGCAGCCAACUACAAUUCCCAGCAGGCCGUGGUCCUGUAAACGCAGCCUCUCCUUGCGUUUAGUGACGAGUGCAUUCUGGAACUUGUAGUCUUUUUUUAAUACUAAGGGCCAGGCUCGAGAUUAUAUGUACAAAACUACUUAGCCAUCUGUACGCCUCUGUCAUCCCGGACUCUUCGUGUUAAGCAAACUCAGUGGAAGAAAUGUAACUUAGAUGUGAUGACUCGGUGUAUAGUACACGUAAAAGUCACUUAACCAGCCGCCUUCAUUUCCGCAACUGUCAAGAGUAGUUCGUGCUUACACUUAGGUAGUCGUUGCAAACUUAUAGAGCAGUGCGAGAAGCAAUCCCUUGUAGAGUGGACUGGCAGAGCCCGAGGAAAAUAUGUCGCUUUAAUCGACUCAGACCCAGACCCUGCGAGUCGGAUUGUUUGAACUUCUGGGGACGAGUGGUCCGCUCCUCAUCCUCUCCGCCGCCCCCCAACACCUGUCGCCUGCUGCCUCGCGGUGGCGCUGCUUCCUGCACUGAACUGGCUAGCGGGUCCUGCUGUGUUUAAACAAGACCUGGAAUAAUUGAAUGGAACGAUAAAGUACGAUGCAAACGUCCAGCUGUGACCUCCUCCUCAUCUCCUACCCACUCCACACCCCCAGUUGGAGCUCAGUCUCCAGAAAGCAGAAAUUUGAUGACAUCAUCGCCCUGUCUCAAGCUCGGGAAGGUUCUGGACAUCCCGAGAGGAAGAGUCACCACCACCAUGCUGCCCAUCAUGGUGUGGUCCCCGAUGACCUGUUUGGAGAUUUCAGGAACCUGUCUCCUCCCCGUCAUCUCUGCUCCUUGGCGCUUGUCCCUGCGUCCUCUUUUUCUGGCUGGUACUUCCUCACCCCUGAGGAGUCACCUAAAGAGCGCCGCCCACUCUUCUUCAGCAGGCUGACCUUGCCAUCUCUAUAGAAUGAAACAUUUUGCUGAGACACUAUCUGACCCUUGAGUAGAUCUUCAGCCUCUGAAAGGCAGAAAGCACGCUUAUUGAAUGUUGGUCACCUUGGCGAAUGGGGCUGUUAGCCCUGGCCUAACACUCUGGCUCUGCUUUAUUCAGAGGACCUGGGGAGAGCUGUGUGGGACAGUCAGGUGUACAUGGCCUCUAGGUUCCUAUGGGAACCCGCAGCCUUCUGUUGCAGCCCCUGGCCCUGGCCACAAACAGUCCCGGCCCUUCUCUCACCUCG
This 1234-nucleotide small RNA is filed under the name Rattus norvegicus (Norway rat). RNAcentral's name for it is "uncharacterized LOC102552044". The record is from RNAcentral. Lineage: Eukaryota; Metazoa; Chordata; Mammalia; Rodentia; Muridae.